CGGUUCUCGUUAGAUCACCGAACUCAAGCAUCAUUGGGCGCGGUAAGUACUUGGGUGGGUGACCACCAGGGAACACCGCGUGCCGUU
RNAcentral lists this ribosomal RNA (87 nucleotides) under Caerostris darwini. The record is from RNAcentral. Lineage: Eukaryota; Metazoa; Arthropoda; Arachnida; Araneae; Araneidae.